AGUGAACGCUGGCGGUAGGCCUAACACAUGCAAGUCGAACGGCAACACAGAGAAAGUUGGUGCUUACGGGAGGCGAGUGGGGGACGGGAGAGGAGUACAUGGGACUGUACUUUGGCGGGGGGUAACACGUAGGGAAGGUUACGCUAAUAGCGCAAACGACCUACGGGAAAAAGCAGGAGAUCAUGGGACCUUGCGCGCGUAUGUGAGCAGAUGUCGGAUUAGCUAGUUGGGGGGGUAACGGCUCACCUAGGCGACGAUCCGUAGCUGGUCUGAGAGGAUGAUCAGCCACACUGGAACUGAGACACGGUCCAGACUCCUACGGGAGGCAGCAGUGGGGAAUAUUGCACAAUGGGCGCAAGCCUGAUGCAGUCAUGCCGCGUGUAUGAAGAAGGCCUUCGGGUUGUAAAGUACUUUCAUCGGGGAGGAAGGGAGUAAAGUUAAUACCUUGGCUCAUUGACGUUACCCGCAGAAGAAGCACCGGCUAACUCCGUG
RNAcentral lists this ribosomal RNA (492 nucleotides) under uncultured bacterium. RNAcentral describes it as "partial 16S ribosomal RNA". It matches the Rfam family "Bacterial small subunit ribosomal RNA", at positions 29 to 507 of the family's 1533-position model. The record is from RNAcentral.